UAGCUUACUUGCUCUAUAUAUAUAUAUAUAUCAACCUUUGUGUUUGUUUUCAUGUUGGUGUAUGCAGUUCUUAGUUUGUGAGCUGGACUUAAUUCUUUUUCAGUUGUGUUGGUUGUAGGUUUGUUGUUCGAAUAAAGUUAGCGUGAAUGGAUGGUGUUGAAACAGGCCAUUUUCAUCAAAUAACAUGGUUUCGGCCACCGGAGCAGCGGCCCAUUAGGACAGUCGGGCCGACGAUGAAAAAGUGUGCUGGAGAUGGCGGUAUACAUCACAUCCGACAGCUAGAAACGACCCGAUCGUCAAAUUGGACAGCUAAAAAAGCAAAACGCUGAUAGGGCUCGCUUUAGGUUCAGUUUUACUGUCCUAAAUGUAUUCCUACUUAUAAUUUUUUAAGGAAAAUUGUACUAUUAUAUUUUUAU
Molecule: long non-coding RNA, 416 nt
Organism: Hordeum vulgare subsp. vulgare (domesticated barley)
Lineage: Eukaryota; Viridiplantae; Streptophyta; Magnoliopsida; Poales; Poaceae
Exons: 3
Source: RefSeq, a predicted model, not a curated record